GACGAACGCUGGCGGCGUGCUUAACACGUGCAAGUCGAGCGGUAAGGCCCUUUCGGGGGUACACGAGCGGCGAACGGGUGAGUAACACGUGGGUGACCUGCCCUCAGCUCUGGGAUAAGCCUGGGAAACCGGGUCUAAUACUGGAUAUGACUCCAUGACGCAUGUUGUGGGGUGGAAAGCCUUGUGCGGCUGAGGAUGGGCCCGCGGCCUAUCAGCUUGUUGGUGGGGUGAUGGCCUACCAAGGCGACGACGGGUAGCCGGCCUGAGAGGGCGACCGGCCACACUGGGACUGAGACACGGCCCAGACUCCUACGGGAGGCAGCAGGUGGGGAAUCUUGCGCAAUGGGCGAAAGCCUGACGCCGCGACGCCGCGUGAGGGAUGACGGCCU
This 389-nucleotide ribosomal RNA is filed under the name uncultured bacterium. Its description in RNAcentral is "bacterial SSU rRNA". It matches the Rfam family "Bacterial small subunit ribosomal RNA", at positions 28 to 417 of the family's 1533-position model. The record is from RNAcentral.